CAGGCGCUGCGCUAAGAAUCAAGAUGCUGAGACGGAGGAGGCUGGGGCUGAGCCCCACUUGCCAUGGCGGCUUUCAUCAAAGCGAGCAGCCCACACCUCCGCCCGCCCGGGUGACGCCGCAGGGUGGAGCGGUUCGAAGGCCCGGACUCCUCGGCCCCGCUCCACCACUAACCGCGCGCCCCUGGGCACGUAGCGUAGGCGCUCCCGUGGAACGGCGAUCACAGCUCGGGGUCCCAGGGUUGUGGCGAGAACGGAAUUUACGGGCGCUAUCGUGAUGUCUGCGGCGCUCGGCGGGAAGCGGGUCUGGAGUCUACGGGACCCCCGAGGGGCGUGCGACCGCGGACAAGCCGCUCCUCUUCCGGACUUCGGUUUCCCGCCUCAGAAAGAAAAUGGGAAGACGGGUCUACACCCGCCCUUCCAGCUCCGCACUCGGCGGCGCCCGGCGGGGCAGCGACCCUUCCCGGUGGGGAAACUCCCACCGCCCCACAGGGUGGGGUAGGGGCGGGGCGGGGGUGGGGCCUGGCGGGGGUCGGUCCGGCCGCCCCACCUGCCGCCGCUCACCUCUAGGCUGUAGUUGCCCCGGAUGGCGGUGAAGUCGUCCAGGGCUUCGGCCGCGCUCCCCUCGUCCAGGUUCAGCUCCUGGCACAGGGCCUGCAGCGCCUCCCCGGCCGCGGCGACCACCGCUGCCCCCUCAGCGUGGGGCUCGUCCUCGAACAUCCCCUCAGGCCGCGGUCACAGCCCCCAGGCUCCUUUCUCCCUCCUGGGCGCGCUACCCACAACCACCCGCGCCAAAGCGCGCGAAAGUCGGUGGCUUCAGAACGACGUCUCUCCGAUGGUCUGCAUCCGCGGUUCUCCUCAAAAAAGUCCGUUUCUCCUCCAGGGCACUCAGUGAUCUCUCUCUGGAACUGUGAUUAGAAAGUGGACCUCGGUUCCAGAAAAAAACCUGGGCUUGGUCCUUGGCGGGCAGCGGUGGGCACAGCCAGCGGAGUAAGUUGGUGCGGAAGGAUCGGCAGCCGCGCGCAGAGUCUGCUGGGAAUUGUAGUCCAUAUCCUGCCUUGACGCCCGCGGCGCCACCCUGGUCUCGCCAGGUCUUUGGUUUGGGCCCGGCUGCCUACUGCGAGGUGUCCUCGGUCAUCUUAGGGAGAAGCCUCCUUUGUACCACUAACCCACGGGACUGCGUUUGUCACUGCCCCGCCAAACAGUCUGACUGAGACUUGCCCCUUGAGUUAGGAGACGCAGGCAGGAACAGAAAAAAGUGUUUCUGAGACAGCGGGAGGCCUCAGGACUCUGUCCCCUGCGCCCAGUGGGUGGUCUGUGGAAUGAUUGUAGGGUUGGUGAGGCAAACCAGGCUUGACCUGGGCUGAAAGCUCUGCAGUAAUCGGCUCCCAGGAGCCUGGGAACCAUCCUGGGAAAGACCGUCAUUCCAGGCUUGGGAAUGGCCUGAGCAUAAGCUUGAAGGCAUGGAACUGGUCUCCAAACCUACCCUGCUCCACCGAAACCCCUUCUCCAGGAAGAGCCAGAGUGAUCCAGAGCACGUCACCCCUUCAUUCAAAAUCUUUCAGUAGAUUCCUCUUGCCCUUAAAAUAGUAUCCAAACUCCUUUUGAUGGCCCACAGGGCCUCUGUGAUCUGGCCUCACCUCCUUGCCCCCACCCAAGUGUAUAUAAUAAGGUGCAGCUUCACUGCUUUGUUUUGGAACCUUGAAAAUGCCAAGCUGCCAAGCUAGUUCUUGCCUCAAGGCCUUUCUCACAUGCUGAUCAAACGGACCCAAAUACUCUAUACCAACCAGGUCUUUGCUUAUCUGGCUUCUCCUUGUCAUUAAGUUCAAAUAAAUGUUACCUUCUCAGGCCCUUCCUGAGCACUAAAGUAGCUGACCCACCCCCCACAACACCCUAUUUCAUUGUCUUCAUAACCCCAUAUCACUAUCUGAAAUUAUCUUGUUUAUUCACUGGCUCUUCCUACUAAAAUGAGAGUUGCAAGAGAGCAGGGACCUUUUUUCCUGUUCACUGUAUUAGAAGUUUAGAUUAGUGCCUGGCUCAUAGUUGGCACUCAGUACUUAACAAAGUAUGUUUGAAAAGUUACAAAGAGCCCACUGAUGCUUGGAUGAGGGAAGGAGUCACCAGAGAUGAAAAUGAAGACAGGUCAAGGUAGGUUGCAAAGGACCUCCUAUACUUCACUAAAAGCCUAGACAUUAUCAGUGGGGGUUUUAAUGAAAGGAAAUGAUGAAUGAGCAAUAAUGUUCUGGGACGGUCCCUCUGGCUACAGUGGGACACAUAGAUUGGAUGAGGUAGAGACUAGAGGUAUAGAGAUGGUAGGGGCUGCUCCAGCAUUGAAAGGAGCCAGUCUGGAGGGGGGUCUCUUAGAACUGAAUGGGGCACUGCUAGAGAGGGAAGAGUCCCCAACAACAGAAGUUUUCAUCUAGGUCAAGAGGGUGAAAGGUGAUGCUGUUAACUAGAAUGGGAGUAGAAGCAGAAGGAUGAGAUCAGUUCCAGAGCGUUGUGUUUGGGAUGCCUGCAGGAAGUUUAAGAGGAGUCUGUUGGAUCCUGGAAGGUAGCCCCUCUCUCCUCUCUCCUGGCAAUUUCCCAGUCUUCUACAUUGUCCACACUUGGAGAGGGGUGGGACUUGGGGAACCAGGUGCAAGCUGGGUCUCAAAUGAGUAAAGACUCAAACUCCUCUCACCCUCCAAAUUCAAAAUCAAACUGAAACACCCAUGUGGCACUUCCAACUCUUCUUCCUUCUAGAAGCUACUACUGCAGUUGACUUUAGGACCAUCUCAUUAUUUUCUGGGGAGAUGUUGGCACAUAGUGUCUGCACAGAGACUCUCCUCCCAUUAGUUUUUAUUAGAGGAUUGGUAUGGGUAGUUGAGGGGAGGUCUAUCUCCCAUGCCAAGGGGUCUGUAACAGGGUUUAUCAUCCUUCCUCCUUUUUUCCCUGUCAGCAAAGAAAGGUCAGGAUUAGUGGAGAUAACAUGGGUGAAAUCCCUCUUGUAUUGGCUCAUUUGUUUUCUAAUUAACCUGUGCUUAUUUGAGAGGAGUAGGGACAAUCUGGACAUGAGGAUUUGGGAAUAUUCAGGCAAUACCUGAGGCUAAGGGAGCAGGUAGGGAGUGUGUUGGCAUAAGAAGAGACUCAAGGGGAGAACCUUUAGAAACACCUACAUUUCAGAGAUGGGCAGAAUUUGAGGAAUGAAUGAGUUAAACUGUCCACACAGGUAUAAAAAUAAAGGAGUGGUAUCUCAGAGUCUGGGAAAGAAGUACUCCAUGGAGCCCAACACUGCAGAGAAUUCAAAUAAAAUUCAAACAAGACCUCAUAUAUUAUCAUUCAUAUGUUGUUAGUGACAUUUGCCAGAGCAGUUUUCUGUAGCAUGGUGGGAACGAAAGCCAGAUUACUGUGGCUGAGGCGUUAAUGGGAGGAAGGUCAGAAAGUUGGAAGUAAGAAGUAAAAGCUUCUAAGAAGUUUGGUGGUGGAGAGGAAAAAGGAAUUUUCUAGCAUAGGGGAAACACAGGUAUGUGAAUAAUCAGGGACAGGAGCAGGUGGAGAGAGACUGAAGAUAAAGAGAUUAUUGAUUUAGCCAGGCCCUGGAAAAGGUGGCCAAGCCAGGAAUCCAGAGCCUGGCCUUCCUCUUGGUAGCUCCUGUCUGGAAGGUUAUCAUCACCUUACAUCUAGAUUAAACAGAACUGCUAGGUGCUCUGCUGAGUGCAAAAUAGAGUAACAUGCAGUAGGGAGUUGAGAGUGGUAAAGAUUUAGAACAACCGUUGAGAAAUAUCACUUGGAAAAAAAAAAAGAAAUAUCACCUGGUCUGUCAAAUGCAAACGUUAUGGUCGGAAUUUUUGGGGAGAAAUAGAGUAAAACUAAGUCUGCCCCAUGAGAUUCUGGCUUUCAUAGCUGGAACUGGACAAGAUCACAAGAGUUGAGAAGCCUCAAAUUUUUUGCCUCUGCCAUAACUAACCAAUUUCUUUUUUUUAUCCAGAUAGUGAACUGCAGAGGGUGAUUCUGACCUUGAAACGAAACCAAGAUAAAAGGAAAGAGCUCUCAGGAAUUAUAAACCAAACCAAACCAGAGACUCACUGCCCCAUUUUUUAUUUCUAUAGUGGUUUGGCUUUCAGUGAGUUGCAGUAUAUGGACUCUAGCCCAUUUCUUCUUUGCUACUGGAUUUGAUUCUCCUGAUUCUUUUCACACUUCAUGCGUACUGAGUCCUGAAAAUCCUUCAUUUCUUCAUUCCACAAAUGUUUACUGAAUGCCUGCUAUGUGCAAGAUACUGAUUCUUCCUAUGCUGUCAUUUUCAGAUCACCCAGACUUGAACUGAGGGGUACUGCUGGCUUAAAAAUGAUCCAAGAACAAAAGAAGCCCCUCUCAAAUGUCAUCCAGCAAACAAAAACUGAGAAACAUUAUACAUUUUCCUUCUCUUCAGGACUGGAUCUAGGCUCUAACUUUGGAUUUUCAAUUUUUUUAAUUUAUUUGACAGAGAGAGAUACAGCAAGAGAGGGAACACAAGCAGCGGGAGUGGGAGAGGGAGAAGCAGGCUUCCCGCGGAGCAGAGAGCCCGAUGCAGGGCUCAAUCCCAGGACCCUGGGAUCAUGACCUGAGCCGAAGGCAGACGCUUAACAACUGAGCCACCCAGGCGCCCCUAUGAAUGACAUUCUUAAAUAAAGUUGUCAUCCACCUCUGGAAAAAAAAGUCUCUGCUCCCCCUUAAUCCCAGGAAGGAUGGAAAACUGAACAUUGUUAGCUAAAAACCACCCCAGAUACUAGCCCUAAGCAGAAGAUUCUGGUGGAAAAGUCAAACCUGUAUAAGAAAGAUGUAUGUAACACUCAAAGACAGCAAUAGCAAACAGUCUUGGUGAGAUUAUUUCUGUUGCUUUUUUCCUCAUUUCAAUUUCCUCAU
This is a long non-coding RNA of Mirounga angustirostris (Northern elephant seal), 4878 nucleotides long. RefSeq lists it as uncharacterized. The transcript has 3 exons. The record is from RefSeq and is a predicted model, not a curated record. Lineage: Eukaryota; Metazoa; Chordata; Mammalia; Carnivora; Phocidae.